AACUUCAAAAUUUCGGAUCCCUACCUCCUCGUGGUACUGGCCGGGGUACGAGUAAAAUUGGGAAGAUCGGGUAACCAACCCCCGGUGGGAACUUUGGUCGUAUGCUGACAGGGAAGG
Molecule: ribozyme, 117 nt
Filed under: Aedes aegypti (yellow fever mosquito)
Lineage: Eukaryota; Metazoa; Arthropoda; Insecta; Diptera; Culicidae
Description: drz-agam-1 ribozyme
Rfam family: drz-agam-1 ribozyme
Source: Rfam by way of RNAcentral